This 4149-nucleotide long non-coding RNA is filed under the name Sus scrofa (pig). RNAcentral's name for it is "lncRNA (ENSSSCG00005022756.1)". Lineage: Eukaryota; Metazoa; Chordata; Mammalia; Artiodactyla; Suidae. The record is from RNAcentral.
UUUGCUCUUCAUUUCAACAUGUCUUUUCCUCUUACUCUUUGUGAUUUUCACUUGAUCCUUUUGAGUUUUGAUUCCAAAGUUCUUAAGAGACAGAGAUCCUAUUGGCUGGUGCAAGACCAUAGCAGUUGUGUGUGUGUGUGUGUGUGAGAGAGAGAGAGAGAGAGAGAGNNNNNNNNNNNNNNNNNNNNNNNNNNNNNNNNNNNNNNNNNNNNNNNNNNNNNNNNNNNNNNNNNNNNNNNNNNNNNGGAGAGGGAGAGGGAGAGGGAGAGGGAGAGGGAGAGGGAGAGCGCUGAGUCACUGUCUCCCAUUUCUGGCUUUGCUUCUCACAUCCACAACCCAUGUGCUCUACUUCCAUUUUUUCCUCUCAUUCCUGUUCCAAGCACAUCUGAAGAUUUUAUUUUCUCUAGCUUGGCUUUUCCCUUUGGGGAUGGCUCACAAAGCCUCAGAGCUUCUGAACGCACUCUGACGUGAGGGAGCAGCUUGAGUCCUCAAGUAUGUGUCCCGCCUGGAGACGAAGCCCAUUGAAGUCCCUGAGAGCAAACAGCUCUGAAAAGCAAAGCGAUCUGGUAUUUACUCAACUUUACUUCUGUCCGGUGGGUCAGAGAACAGACUCCAGUGUCCAGGAUAAAGCCGGGCCUGGCCGGGUCUUGGCAGCUCAAACCGCCCCAUUGUGAUUCAAGAUUCGGGGUGUAAACACAUGCAGUGUUUAACCACCGCCAGUCCUCUUUGAAUGUUUGAUAGCCGUGACUGGGGCUCAGGAAGAACACAGUAGUGACUUCUUCACUGGAGCUGAGGCUGAGGCUUUAUGUAGUGUUUGGGCAAACGGCACCGGCAGCUGCAAGCCCUCAAUGGGUGCUUUCUAGUUGCUGAGUGGGCUGUGCUGCGUUGCUGGGAGCCGAGGUCCGGAGCUGCCCCUGGGCUGGAUGGGGGGAGGAGGAGGCGGCCAGCCGCAGCCUGGGCCACCCCUUCUCGGUGACAGGUGCUGAGGGACAGGAGAAGGAGCCCCUCCCUACUGGCUCCCAAGCCUGGGCUCAGUGUCUGCCACUGACUGCCAUUUUUAUUGGGUUUUUGUUUCAGGAACACACACAGGACCUUGGCAGGCAGAGAUGUACCCUGUGGCUUGGUCUUUCUCUGCUCAGCUAGUGGUGAUGAAAACAGUAACAAAGACCCUGACUUUGCUAAAUGACCAAGACUCACUCAGAUAACAAGCCAGUACAGUUGCUGGCAGAGAGCCUUCUAGACGCUUGAUGCAGUGUGACCUACUGGAGUGAGAAGGAGAAUUGGAAGGGGAGGGCUCUCAGUUACAUUUUGGUCCAAUUAAAGGAUACUAUUAUCUCCUCCUGAUGUGGACUGAUGAUCCUGUUUAUCAUUAACUAUCAUCUACUGAGAACUUUUAUGUGCCAGGUACUGAACUAGGUAUUGCAUGUUCAUUGUCUUACCAUAAUCCUGCAAUUUCGUUGUUGUUGUUCUUUUUUUUUUUUAACAAAGGAGAAAACUGAGUUUCAGAAAGGUUAACUCAUUUGUUCAAUAGUGUUACGCAGCUUAUAAACGGUACAGUCAGAAAUCCAAUCUUGGUAUGACUAUAAAAUAACUUAUACCCUUUCUGGGAGAAACACAUAGCUUAUGCCCUGUAAAUUUGAUAUUUAAAGUGCCAGGUGACUGUGGCCUAGAAAAGGCGAUUUGGCCAUGGGAAUACAGAGUAAGUCAAUAAUUUAUAUUCAGAACAAUGUCUACUCUUUUCAUUACAGAGAAUUCCAGGAAAAUUCAGAUGAGGUAGAUUCAUAAGGCAGAAAAAUCCCUUCUUGGGAGUUCCCGUUUAACAAAGGCAGUUAACGAACCUGACUAGUAACGAACCUGACUAGUAUCCAUGAGGUUUGAUCCUUGGCCUCACUCAGUGGAUUAAAGAUCCAGCAUUGCCAUGAGCUGUGGUGCAGCUCUCACACGUAGCUGGGAUCUGGCAUAGCUGUGGUGUAGGCCAGCGGCUAUAGCUCUAAUUUGACCCCUAGCCUGGGAACGUCCAUAUGCCACAGGUGUGGCCCUAAAAAGACCAAAAAAAGAAAAAAAAAAUCGCUUCUUAAUACUGAGGGAGUAAGAACCCUGCCUCCUACCUCCCCUAACCCCCAGUCUGGGCCUGGCGAGCCUACAAGAAAAAAUUUAAUGUCACUCUUCUAUUUUAAAUAAUUACUCCUGAAUUUUUAAAUGAAAAACAAGAGGUCAGUUAUAAGAGCAAUUUAAAAUUUGCAGAAAAAAUUUAGAAGACGGUAGAGAGUUCCCAUAUACCUCACCGACCAGUUUCCACUAUUAUUAACAUCUAAUAGUGCACAUUUGUUAUUAAUGAACUGAUAUCAAAACAUUAUUAACUAAAGUCCAGUUUAUUCAGACUUCCUUCAUUUAUUUUUUUCUUUUUUGGGUUGCACCUGAGGCAUAUGGAAGUUCCCAGGCUAGGGGUGGAAUCAGAGCUGCAGUUGCCAGCCUACGCCACAGCCACAGCCAUGCCAGAUCUGAGUUCACGUCUGCAACCUACACCACAGCUCAUCGCAAUGCCAGAUCUUUAACCCACUGAGCGACACCAGGGAUUGAACGUGCAUCCUCAUGGAUACUAGCUGAGUUCUUGACCUGCUGAGCCACAACAGAACUCCCAUAGUCUUCCUUGAUUUGUAUCUAAUGUCCUUUUCCCAUACCAGGAUCCCAUCUAGGAUGCCACAUUACAUUUAGUUGUCAUGUCUCCUUAGGCUUCUCUUGGCUGUGAGAGUUUCUCAGACUUUUGUUGGUUUCAAUGACCUUGACAGUUUUGAGGUGUACUAGUGAUUUUUAAGAGGUAAGAGAAUGCCCAUCCCUGGGGAGAGGUCUGUUGUUUUUCUCAUGAUUAGAUUACAGCAGUAGGUUUUGGGCUAGAGGACCUCAGAUGUAAAGUGCCAUUUCAUCAUAUCAUAUCAAUCAAGGGUAUGUACUAUCAACAUGACCUAUGACUGUUGAUGUUGACCUUGAUCACCUGGCUGAGGGAGUGUUUGGCAGAUUUCCCCAAUGGAAAGUUACCUUUCCCCCUACCCUCUUUUUACUAUUUUCUUUCAAAGUCACUAUGCACAGCCCACAGCUAAGUUGGGUACUUGGUGACUUUUAAAAUAAUCUUCAUUGUCUCCCAUCUCUCAAAGUCAUUUCUUCUUCCUUAGCCUGAUUUAAUACCAUUCAUGUUAAUUAACCUCUUCACCUCUGUUUCCACUCUCCAAAUCAUAACUAUCAAAUCACAGACUUUCAGAGCUCAGAGAGUGUAAAGUGCACUAGCCUGUUUGUGAUUAGGUUAUGUGAUAGCCAGAUGAAGUAGAAAUGCAUAUACGGCUUGAAAGAAUUUCAUAUUUAAAUGUUCACUGAAAGCAAGGAAGCCUUCAUCACGAGAUAUUCAGAGAAUUGCUGGUAUACUGACAUUUGUUUUAAGGACCAGUGUUAUUUCUACUUUGAAUAACAUAAAAGUAUGGCAUGCCAUUCUCAGCAUCAAUGUCCCAAGCCCAGCCCCUCACCUAUCUUUCACAGAGGAGUUGUGGAGGUGAAACGAGUUGUCCCAGGUCACAGAGGUGGUGUCAAGGAAAUAAGGUCUCCAAUUUGACCCCUAGCUGGGGAACUUCCAGAGAGAAAUAGACAUCCACUGUGAACACAGAUUUCCCAACAAAACUCAAAGGCUGGUUGAUUUUUGUAAAUCUCAAAACUUCGAAACAAUUAAAAAUUAUGUUAGAAAAAUAAUUAAAACUUGUCUGAGAGUAAACGUACUUGCGUGGAAAGGAAACUGAACAAAGUUAGCAGUAUGCCUUUGACUGUGAACUGUUAUCUGACCAGCAAUAUGAGUAGCAAGCUUUUUAACAUUGUUAUCAAGGUCCCAGAUUACUUAGGUAUAUCUUGCUUGUAGGUCGCAUUUGCCUAUGUGUCUGUGUCUGUGUGUGUGUGUGUGUGUGUGUGUGAAGAUUCAGAAAACAGAGUUCAAUUUUCUCCGGAAGAAUCUGCCCUCAAGUCUAUAUCAAGAGCUGGUAGGCUGGAAGGAUUAAGUGAAUUCACUCCAGAAAAGAACAGAAAUGAAAUGAUCAAUGAAAAUACACUGAGGGAUAUUUUAAAGAAAGUUUUUAACAGGCAUACUUGUUUGAUUCAUUUUAUCCAAUGUUC